UUUUCCAUUCAGUUGUGUUCAACACUGAAAAAUGGUAUAUCAUUUUUUGUCCUUUCCAAAUUAAAAUAUCAAUCCGUAAUUUUUUUGUCAUUCACAAAUUAAAUUAUCAGUGUAGAAGUCUAUUUGAGCAUUCAUUUCCUAUCCUUUUAUAAACUAGAAGGCCACGCUAGGUUUCUUAGUGUAGUAUUUGGAAUGUUUGACCCUGAACUGGCCCUCUGUUCCAACUAACGAAAAAAUGACCCUUUGUUGUGAUUUUAGUUUUUGUAUGUAAAAUGAUAUUUGUAAAAUUUUGUAUUCGGUCUGCCAUUUGCCAGUGAAUUAGGGCUGCAUUUUAGAUUAGAACCAUGAAGUAACUAUGAUGUGCACCGCUUGAAACCAGAGUGAGUCUAAUGAAAGACGGGCAUUUGAUCAUGUUCUAUUUAAUUAUCGUUUCAUUCGUUUCGUCGUUCCAUCCCUCCCUGAACUGACCUUACCCACAACUCUUACCUUUUCAUUUCAUUUUAUCAAGGAAAGACUGUGGGGUUUGUGUAUCCUUAUCCAAGACAUUGUGAAGGCUUCAGAUGCAGUUUACAAGAAGCAAUUGGUGAGCUAAUUCAGAGAUAAGUGAAAUGAUAAUAAGAAGGUUAAAUAAUGUUGUUCAAUCUUUCCGUCAAGCAACCUGUUUGGCCCCAAAUGUCCGCACCGACGCGGUGACGCCCGUGGGCGCCACCGUUCCUUCCUGAAGGGCAUCGGGUGUUGCUUGGCAUGCGGAGGUUCAAGGUGCUAGGAGCGAGGUGGUAAAUCUCCGGUGAGCGCAGCGGUUGCGGGUCAUCAUCAUUUUCGUCGAUCCGACGUUGUUGACAUUAUUUUCUCUCUUCUUUCUCUUUUUCUUCUUUUGGGCGUGCUUGUGCUGUUUGCCCCAGCAUUGGACUCUUGAUUGUAUUGGGUUGUUGCUAUAUCUAUAUAGCGGGGCGAAAGCCUAUUUCGUAAGAUUCUUCCAUGAAUUCAAGACUUGGCAAACCACUCCCAUUACAAGGUUCCAUAACACAUGCUGGAUUUGUAUGCCAAGAUAUCUGAAGGGCAAAAACUUAGUACAUUUAUUC
Long non-coding RNA from Triticum aestivum (bread wheat), 1082 nucleotides. RefSeq lists it as uncharacterized. Lineage: Eukaryota; Viridiplantae; Streptophyta; Magnoliopsida; Poales; Poaceae. The record is from RefSeq and is a predicted model, not a curated record. The transcript is spliced from 3 exons.